Amblyraja radiata (thorny skate) is the source of this 226-nucleotide long non-coding RNA. RefSeq lists it as uncharacterized. NCBI's taxonomy places the organism in Eukaryota, Metazoa, Chordata, Chondrichthyes, Rajiformes, Rajidae. The transcript has 3 exons. The record is from RefSeq and is a predicted model, not a curated record.
CCACACUGACAGCACCAGAGGUCAGGAAUGGAUCUGGAUCACUGGCUUUGUAAGACGAUCGCUUAUCGUGACAGGGCUCAGAAGAAGAGCAUCUGCUUUGAGUGUCGCUCAUCAGGUAUGCAAAUGACAAGGGCUUUCCAAUGGAGCAAAAUUAUUCACGUUCUUUUUGAACAGUACCUGAACAAGCAAAUAUAUGCCCAUCUGUGGUCCCUAACCCGCGGGACAG